CAAAGAAUUAGAAUUUCUAGUAAAUUCUCAAAUCUUAGAGCCUCAAAUCUUAGGCUACUAUUUGGUACAAGAUCUGAUAAGUAAUCUAUUUGAUUUAUAAUACAUUUAAUACUCAUUAAUUCAAAUUUACAAAUUAACUUACAAAGUUAUGUCCAAAGGGAGACUACUUAAGCAUUGAAAUUCACACCCACAUUUGUUUCCCUCAUGACUUAACAAUAUCCCAAACUAGAAGAAUACACAAAUCUCGUUCACCAGUGGCACAAAGAGACUCAUGUGAGAAACUGGAAGAAAUAGCUGCUUAGAGUUCGCGUGAAGGGCUCCCUCAACACCAAACCAGACCGAGCCAACUGCCAGGCUCACGGAGCGCUCCAAACACGCUCCCUGGAGAAAACAUCUCAUCAAGCGCCAGGGGACAUAGUUCGUCUUCCUGCCAAUAUCCCCACUGAGACCACUUUCAACUUUAAGAUGGCAGACACCCAGGGAACACUUCGUCACCGGAUAACCCCGGCGGCUCCUUAUCCAUGGCUCUUUGGACGCUUGCUAUUCAAUUUCAUUUCUGUUUGCAAACGAGAGAGUGAUUUCAACGAGCUCCUCUCUGCUCUGUAACGUCUUCAGAGGAGAAAAGAAAAUCCUCACACCUCCUACCCCGCUUCCCCCCUCCCCUCGCUCCCCAACAGGCUCAGGCUUCGACGGAACUGCGUCCGCCUUCUAAGUCCUGGGAGGCAACUGCUUCAUCAAAUGCGUUACAACCGCAUAGCAUCAGUCCCACGUUCACCGCCUGCCGUAGGAGUGUCUUCACCGCUUGGCACUUGAGCUUUAAGUAAAGGCUGACGAUUAAUUUUUCUGUUAUGAGAAAUC
RNAcentral lists this long non-coding RNA (858 nucleotides) under Equus caballus (horse). RNAcentral's name for it is "lncRNA (ENSECAG00000044103.1)". The record is from RNAcentral. Lineage: Eukaryota; Metazoa; Chordata; Mammalia; Perissodactyla; Equidae.